RNAcentral lists this transfer RNA (87 nucleotides) under TM7 phylum sp. oral taxon 351. RNAcentral's name for it is "tRNA-Leu". It matches the Rfam family "tRNA". From Rfam's summary of the family: Transfer RNA (tRNA) molecules are approximately 80 nucleotides in length. Their secondary structure includes four short double-helical elements and three loops (D, anti-codon, and T loops). Lineage: Bacteria; Candidatus Saccharimonadota. The record is from RNAcentral. RNAcentral also lists the same sequence under 1 other name.
GGACGAAUGGCGGAAUUGGUAGACGCGCCAGACUCAAAAUCUAGUAGCAGUAAUGCUGUGUGGGUUCGAUUCCCACUUCGUCCACCA